RNAcentral lists this ribosomal RNA (608 nucleotides) under Mycobacterium tuberculosis. Its description in RNAcentral is "bacterial SSU rRNA". It matches the Rfam family "Bacterial small subunit ribosomal RNA", at positions 444 to 1052 of the family's 1533-position model. The record is from RNAcentral. Lineage: Bacteria; Bacillati; Actinomycetota; Actinomycetes; Mycobacteriales; Mycobacteriaceae.
GACGAAGGUCCGGGUUCUCUCGGAUUGACGGUAGGUGGAGAAGAAGCACCGGCCAACUACGUGCCAGCAGCCGCGGUAAUACGUAGGGUGCGAGCGUUGUCCGGAAUUACUGGGCGUAAAGAGCUCGUAGGUGGUUUGUCGCGUUGUUCGUGAAAUCUCACGGCUUAACUGUGAGCGUGCGGGCGAUACGGGCAGACUAGAGUACUGCAGGGGAGACUGGAAUUCCUGGUGUAGCGGUGGAAUGCGCAGAUAUCAGGAGGAACACCGGUGGCGAAGGCGGGUCUCUGGGCAGUAACUGACGCUGAGGAGCGAAAGCGUGGGGAGCGAACAGGAUUAGAUACCCUGGUAGUCCACGCCGUAAACGGUGGGUACUAGGUGUGGGUUUCCUUCCUUGGGAUCCGUGCCGUAGCUAACGCAUUAAGUACCCCGCCUAGGGAGUACGGCCGCAAGGCUAAAACUCAAAGGAAUUGACGGGGGCCCGCACAAGCGGCGGAGCAUGUGGAUUAAUUCGAUGCAACGCGAAGAACCUUACCUGGGUUUGACAUGCACAGGACGCGUCUAGAGAUAGGCGUUCCCUUGUGGCCUGUGUGCAGGUGGUGCAUGGCUGU